UUAAGUUCAGCGGGUAUCCCUACCUGAUCCGAGGUCAACCUUAAGAAGUGGGUUGGUGGUCGCCGGCGCCGGCCGGGCCUGCAGAGCGGGUGACGAAGCCCCAUACGCUCGAGGACCGGACGCGGUGCCGCCGCUGCCUUUCGGGCCCGUCCCCGGGGAGGCGGGGACGGCGGCCCAACACACAAGCCGUGCUUGAGGGC
RNAcentral lists this unclassified non-coding RNA (200 nucleotides) under Aspergillaceae sp. RNAcentral describes it as "partial internal transcribed spacer 2". Lineage: Eukaryota; Fungi; Ascomycota; Eurotiomycetes; Eurotiales; Aspergillaceae. The record is from RNAcentral.